AUACGGAGGGUGCAAGCGUUACUCGGGAUCACUGGGCGUAAAGCGCGCGCAGGCGGCUUGAUAAGUUGGAUGUGAAAGCCUACGGCUCAACCGUAGAACUGCAUCCAAAACUGUCAGGCUAGAGUGUGGGAGAGGAAGAUGGAAUUAGUUGUGUAGGGGUAAAAUCCGUAGAGAUAACUAGGAAUACCAAAAGCGAAGGCAAUCUUCUGGAACACUACUGACGCUGAGGCGCGAAGGCGUGGGGAGCAAACAGGAUUAGAAACCCGUGUAGUCC
Molecule: ribosomal RNA, 274 nt
Filed under: uncultured bacterium
Lineage: Bacteria
Description: partial 16S ribosomal RNA
Rfam family: Bacterial small subunit ribosomal RNA
Source: RNAcentral